CAGGGUGCCCCCCCCCCCCCCGCCGGCGUGCCCCUCACAGCGGGGCCUGCCUCCUCGCCAGGUCUUCGACGUGCAGCGCAAGGUCACCUACAAGAACCUGAGCCACUGGUACAAGGAGCUGCGCGAGUUCCGGCCCCACAUCCCCUGCCUCGUGGUGGCCAACAAGAUCGACGCUGACAUGAAGGUGACGCAGAAGAGCUUCAAUUUCCCGCGGAAGUUCAACCUGCCCUUCUACUUCGUGUCGGCGGCAGACGGCACCAACGUGGUGAAGGUGGGCGGGGGCUGCUGCCCCGCGGGGAGCCGCCUGCCGAGGGGCGGGCACAGCCGGCGCCUGGCGCUGGCGCAGCCGCCUCGCUCCGCCGGGGUGGGGAGAGCCCGGGCCCGCCUGGCUCCCCGCGCGACGUCCACCGCCUCCCCGCAGAUCUUCAACGACGCGAUCCAGCUGGCUGUCUCCUACAAGCAGAACUCGGGGGACUUCCUGGACGAAGUCAUGGAGGAGCUGGAGAAUAUUGGGCUGGAGAAAGCAGAGGAGGAUUCGGCUGGCAAGGAGGAGAGUGGCCCGGGAGACGGCCCCCCGCCGACCUGAGCCCAGGACUGGAAGGACCCGCUCCUGCCCCCGCGCCCUCACGCAGCCAGAGGCCACGCCUUCUGCAGAGACUCGGGGGAGCAGUGCCCCCCGUGUCGGGGCGGCAGGCGGCCCUCCCUGAAGCCGACGGCCUGACAGCUUCCACCCCCCGAGGACGGGCCACCACUGUGGGGCGCGGGGCCCCAGAGGCCCCCUCCCCUGCCCUGGGGCCGCCGGCACAAGCACCGGAGGAAGGCGCUUGCCUCGACGGAGAGAUUGAAGGACCAGCAGUGCAGCCUUGGCGUGUCUCCUUGCCCCCUCCCCAGGGGAGCGGAAAGGGUCUUGGCGGCCCCCUGGCUGGAUCGGGCCGGAGGGCCACCCCCAGGCCCACGAGAUGCUUCUCGGAAGCCCCAGGCGGGACGUACGAGGGGCAGCCCUCUCCCCCUCCGUCCAGCCCUGGUGCUGAGUGGACGUGUCCCGAAGGAGGGCCGCCGACAGGCGUCGGUAAGAGCAAACGUGCUGUACCUCGGAGCAGAAUAAACAAAGAUUUCCUGC
RNAcentral lists this long non-coding RNA (1120 nucleotides) under Varanus komodoensis (Komodo dragon). RNAcentral describes it as "lncRNA (ENSVKKG00000017706.1)". The record is from RNAcentral. Lineage: Eukaryota; Metazoa; Chordata; Lepidosauria; Squamata; Varanidae.